Molecule: small RNA, 53 nt
Filed under: Caenorhabditis elegans
Lineage: Eukaryota; Metazoa; Nematoda; Chromadorea; Rhabditida; Rhabditidae
Description: Unclassified non-coding RNA Y52D3.2
Source: RNAcentral
UCGUGGCCUAGGAGUUCACAUUUUCUAGGCCAGCACUUAUUCCUUGGUUUUUU